RNAcentral lists this transfer RNA (69 nucleotides) under Marmota marmota marmota (Alpine marmot). It matches the Rfam family "tRNA". Rfam says of the family: Transfer RNA (tRNA) molecules are approximately 80 nucleotides in length. Their secondary structure includes four short double-helical elements and three loops (D, anti-codon, and T loops). The record is from Rfam by way of RNAcentral. Lineage: Eukaryota; Metazoa; Chordata; Mammalia; Rodentia; Sciuridae. RNAcentral also lists the same sequence under 1 other name.
GGAGUUGUGGCUCAGUGGUAGAACACUUGCCUAGCAUGCAUGAGGCACUGGGUUCAAUCCCCAACACCA